CUUUUCAGACCAUUUCGUUUUCCCUCUUCCUCUCUCUUUCACGGUUUCUCUAACCUGUUUCUCUUUCUCUCUCUUUUCCAAGUUCUUUCAUAUUCUCUCAACCCCUUUCCUUUUUCCUUUCGAACCCUAGCGGGUUUAUCACUAUCAUCGGUGCUUCCUGACACUGCACGACUAUCUACACCACAAAUCGCAUCCUUUCCCUUUUGAAUCGAUUUGCAUUCGUUUUCAUUUUGGUUUUCUUUUGCGUUUUAGUCAUCGCUUUCGUUUUCGUUAUCUGAAUCCGGUUUAGGGUCUGGAAAAAGUGUUUAUUUCAUUUAUGAUUCUAGCGGCGUCCGUAACAGAAUGGAUCUCUGGUUUAUGAAAUUUGUUCGUGAUUUAAACUUUGUAUUUUGAAGGAAGAUCUAUAAAUUUGGUAGUCACUAACUUGCAGAUCUACGAUUGUCUGACCCCACUCCACCGUUUCUGCUCUCCUUUCAUCACUUUUGUUUUCAAGCCCUAUAGAGUACAUGAUGUGUUGCGCCCACUCUAUGAAUCAUCCAAGCUAUUAGCUUAGAGAACAACUAUGGCAGGAAGAAGAAUACACUUGUGCUGCUAGAUAUAUGACUAUUUUUAUAAUUUUUCUGAUACAUUUUAUUGUAUACUAUGUUUGGUUUUUCUCCAAAAAAAUUAUUUGACUAUAUCACUCAUACUUUUCAUUUUUUUUGUGUAACAGGCUUAAAAUUCCUUCCAAUUGUCAUAGGUAAUUUCAAACGAUUUUGAUGUUUGUGGCUUCUACUGGAGCUUGUGUGUUUUGAAUCUAUGUGUUUUGAUGUUCUGAGUCCAUGGUUCAACAACAAGCACUAUUUUAUUUGUGUCCUGCAGGUUUAUGUAGCUACAAAUAGGAUUUCUCCUUUUAUCACCCUUUUCAGGCUUUUUGAAGAAUCUACAAAUAAAGUUAGAGUGAAAAUACUUAGUUUUCAACUCUAUUAUUAGAACUGAUGCCCUCUAUUAUUAGAACUGAUGCCCUUAGUUUUCAGGCUAUUUGUAGAUUCAAAUUAUUGAUUAUGUGAAGAUUUUGAAUUGUUUCAAUUUCGGUGUUGUGGUUCUAUUUGAGCUUCACGGUUAUAUGUUUGGGGUUCGCGAAGGUUUUCUGUUGCAGAGUUUGGAUUCUAGCAGAGCUUUUCACGGUUCAGAUUUAGCAUUCGAGUCAAAUUUUCGGUACAGAUCCAAAACUUUCAAGCUUGUUGAAGAUGUUAAGAUGGGCCCAAAACCAGCUGGCCGAGAAAGCUUCUUUUCCUCGCAUAAAUGAUAUAACCACAGCUUAGAAGACCCUGUUCAAAAACUUGUGACACUUUAAUUUGAAUUUGAAGAUUUUAGGUUCUACAUGAAGUGAUUGUUGCCAUUGUUGUUA
Vicia villosa (hairy vetch) is the source of this 1390-nucleotide long non-coding RNA. RefSeq lists it as uncharacterized. The record is from RefSeq and is a predicted model, not a curated record. NCBI's taxonomy places the organism in Eukaryota, Viridiplantae, Streptophyta, Magnoliopsida, Fabales, Fabaceae. The transcript is spliced from 3 exons.